AGUGAACGCUGGCGGUAGGCCUAACACAUGCAAGUCGAACGGCAGCACAGUAAGAGCUUGCUCUUACGGGUGGCGAGUGGCGGACGGGUGAGGAAUACAUCGGAAUCUACUUUUUCGUGGGGGAUAACGUAGGGAAACUUACGCUAAUACCGCAUACGACCUACGGGUGAAAGCAGGGGAUCUUCGGACCUUGCGCGAUUGAAUGCGCCGAUGUCGGAUUAGCUAGUUGGCGGGGUAAAGGCCCACCAAGGCGACGAUCCGUAGCUGGUCUGAGAGGAUGAUCAGCGACACUGGAGCUGAGACACGGUCCAGACUCCUACGGGAGGCAGCAGUGGGGAAUAUUGGACAAUGGGCGCAAGCCUGAUCCAGCCAUACCGCGUGGGUGAAGAAGGCCUUCGGGUUGUAAAGCCCUUUUGUUGGGAAAGAAAAGCAGCAGGUUAAUACCCCGCUGUUCUGACGGUACCCAAAGAAUAAGCACCGGCUAACUUCGUG
RNAcentral lists this ribosomal RNA (492 nucleotides) under uncultured bacterium. Its description in RNAcentral is "partial 16S ribosomal RNA". It matches the Rfam family "Bacterial small subunit ribosomal RNA", at positions 29 to 507 of the family's 1533-position model. The record is from RNAcentral.